UUGAGAUUACAGAUUUGAUGCUGGAUUUUUUAAUUAAAAGUUCAAAUUACAUCGACAUCUAAUGUCAAAGAGAUGAGUGAAGGAUAAUGUACAAACUAUUUAGUAUCAUAGCAUUGCAGACAAUCGUGUCGACGAUCCCCGCGGGAGCCACUGUGUCUGGUCCAGGGAGAAAUGUUCCAAUGGAUUGGCUGCGGAUGACCGAUAUGUACCUUAGAAGAAUGGUCAACCGUCCGCACGUGGAAGCUGGUCCGGGCUUCUUCAAGUCAGAUCCUGUAGAGUAUUCACCGGACCAGCUCUCAAAGGAGUACAAGAAGCUAUUUGCGCUAAAGAAGAAAAUGGAAGAAGAGAAUAAACCUUUAAACCCCUGA
Long non-coding RNA from Pieris brassicae (large cabbage white), 368 nucleotides. RefSeq lists it as uncharacterized. The record is from RefSeq and is a predicted model, not a curated record. Lineage: Eukaryota; Metazoa; Arthropoda; Insecta; Lepidoptera; Pieridae. The transcript has 3 exons.